GCUGGCGGCAGGCCUAACACAUGCAAGUCGAACGGAGUUAUAUUGUAGCUUGCUAUGGUAUAACUUAGUGGCAGACGGGUGAGUAAUGUAUAGGAAUCUACCUAGUAGUACGGAAUAAUUGUUGGAAACGGCAACUAAUACCGUAUACGCCCUACGGGGGAAAAAUUUAUUGCUAUUAGAUGAGCCUAUAUUAGAUUAGCUAGUUGGUGGAGUAAUAGCCUACCAAGGCAAUGAUCUAUAGCUGAUCUGAGAGGAUGAUCAGCCACACUGGAACUGAGAUACGGUCCAGACUCCUACGGGAGGCAGCAGUGGGGAAUAUUGGACAAUGGGCGAAAGCCUGAUCCAGCCAUGCCGCAUGAGUGAAGAAGGCCUUUGGGUUGUAAAGCUCUUUUAGUGAGGAAGAUAAUGACGGUACUCACAGAAGAAGUCCUGGCUAACUCCGUGCCAGCAGCCGCGGUAAUACGGAGAGGGCUAGCGUUAUUCGGAAUUAUUGGGCGUAAAGGGCGCGUAGGCGGAUUAGUAAGUUAAAAGUGAAAUCCCAAGGCUCAACCUUGGAAUUGCUUUUAAAACUGCUAAUCUAGAGAUUGAAAGAGGAUAGAGGAAUUCCUAGUGUAGAGGUGAAAUUCGUAAAUAUUAGGAGGAACACCAGUGGCGAAGGCGUCUAUCUGGUUCAAAUCUGACGCUGAGGCGCGAAGGCGUGGGGAGCAAACAGGAUUAGAUACCCUGGUAGUCCACGCUGUAAACGAUGAAUGUUAAAUAUGGGAAGUUUUACUUUCUGUAUU
RNAcentral lists this ribosomal RNA (782 nucleotides) under uncultured bacterium. RNAcentral describes it as "bacterial SSU rRNA". It matches the Rfam family "Bacterial small subunit ribosomal RNA", at positions 35 to 847 of the family's 1533-position model. The record is from RNAcentral.